Molecule: ribosomal RNA, 922 nt
Filed under: uncultured Bacteroidota bacterium
Lineage: Bacteria; Pseudomonadati; Bacteroidota
Description: bacterial SSU rRNA
Rfam family: Bacterial small subunit ribosomal RNA
Source: RNAcentral
GGAUCCAGACUUUGAUCCUGGCUCAGGAUGAACGCUAGCUACAGGCUUAACACAUGCAAGUCGAGGGGCAGCGGGAUUGAAGCUUGCUUCAAUUGCCGGCGACCGGCGCACGGGUGAGUAACGCGUAUCCAACCUUCCGUACACUCAGGGAUAGCCUUUCGAAAGAAAGAUUAAUACCUGAUGGUAUGAUGAGAUUGCAUGAUAGCAUCAUUAAAGAUUUAUCGGUGUACGAUGGGGAUGCGUUCCAUUAGGUAGUAGGCGGGGUAACGGCCCACCUAGCCGACGAUGGAUAGGGGUUCUGAGAGGAAGGUCCCCCACAUUGGAACUGAGACACGGUCCAAACUCCUACGGGAGGCAGCAGUGAGGAAUAUUGGUCAAUGGACGAGAGUCUGAACCAGCCAAGUAGCGUGAAGGAUGAAGGUCCUACGGAUUGUAAACUUCUUUUAUAAGGGAAUAAACCCUUCCACGUGUGGGAGCUUGUAUGUACCUUAUGAAUAAGCAUCGGCUAACUCCGUGCCAGCAGCCGCGGUAAUACGGAGGAUGCGAGCGUUAUCCGGAUUUAUUGGGUUUAAAGGGAGCGCAGACGGGUCGUUAAGUCAGCUGUGAAAGUUUGGGGCUCAACCUUAAAAUUGCAGUUGAUACUGGCGUCCUUGAGUGCGGUUGAGGUGUGCGGAAUUCGUGGUGUAGCGGUGAAAUGCUUAGAUAUCACGAAGAACUCCGAUUGCGAAGGCAGCACACUAAGCCGUAACUGACGUUCAUGCUCGAAAGUGUGGGUAUCAAACAGGAUUAGAUACCCUGGUAGUCCACACGGUAAACGAUGGAUACUCGCUGUUGGCGAUAUACUGUCAGCGGCUUAGCGAAAGCGUUAAGUAUCCCACCUGGGGAGUACGCCGGCAACGGUGCAACUCAAAUGAAUUGACGG